Molecule: long non-coding RNA, 371 nt
Filed under: Homo sapiens (human)
Lineage: Eukaryota; Metazoa; Chordata; Mammalia; Primates; Hominidae
Description: HSALNT0257666
Source: RNAcentral
AUAUGAAGAAAUCCCGUUUCCAACGAAGGCCUCAAAGAGGUCCGAAUAUCCACUUGCAGACUUUACAAACAGAGUGUUGCCUAACUGCUCUAUGAAAAGAAAGAUUAAAGUCUGUGAGUUGAACGCACACAUCACAACGCAGUUUGUGGGAAUGAUUCUGUCUAGUUUUGAAACGAAGAUAUUUCCUUUUCUACCGUUGGCCUCAAAGCGCUUGAAAUCCCACUUGCAAAUUCCGCAAUGAGAGUGUUUCAAAUCUCCUCUGUCUAAAGGAACGUUCAAAUCUGUGAGUUGAAUACACACAACACAAGGAAGUUACUGAGAAUUCUUCUGUCUAGCCUUACAUGAAAAAAACCCGUUUAAAACGAAGGCCU